RNAcentral lists this ribosomal RNA (498 nucleotides) under uncultured bacterium. Its description in RNAcentral is "partial 16S ribosomal RNA". It matches the Rfam family "Bacterial small subunit ribosomal RNA", at positions 28 to 523 of the family's 1533-position model. The record is from RNAcentral.
GAUGAACGCUAGCGGCAGGCUUAAUACAUGCAAGUCGAACGGUAAGUGUUGUAGCAAUAUAGCACGAGAGUGACGUACGGGUGCGUAACACGUAUGCAACCUACCUUGUACAGGAGUAUAGCUCGGGGAAACUCGAAUUAACACUCCAUAAUGUAAUGAUGAGGCAUCUCAUUAUUACUAAAACUCCGGUGGUAUAAGAUGGGCAUGCGUCUGAUUAGUUAGUUGGCGGUGUAACGGACCACCAAGACGAUGAUCAGUAGGGGACCUGAGAGGGUGAUCCCCCACACUGACACUGAGAUACGGGCCAGACUCCUACGGGAGGCAGCAGUAGGGAAUAUUGGUCAAUGGAUGCAAGUCUGAACCAGCCAUGCCGCGUGCAGGAAGAAGGCGUUAUGCGUUGUAAACUGCUUUUGCCAGGGGAUAAAAUGAGCGUGCGCGCUUAAUUGAAGGUACCUGGUGAAUAAGCCACGGCUAACUACGUGCCAGCCGCCGCCGUAA